RNAcentral lists this ribosomal RNA (119 nucleotides) under Vibrio parahaemolyticus. Its description in RNAcentral is "partial 16S ribosomal RNA". It matches the Rfam family "Bacterial small subunit ribosomal RNA", at positions 1 to 100 of the family's 1533-position model. The record is from RNAcentral. RNAcentral also lists the same sequence under 1 other name. Lineage: Bacteria; Pseudomonadati; Pseudomonadota; Gammaproteobacteria; Vibrionales; Vibrionaceae.
UUAAAUUGAAGAGUUUGAUCAUGGCUCAGAUUGAACGCUGGCGGCAGGCCUAACACAUGCAAGUCGAGCGGAAACGAGUUAUCUGAACCUUCGGGGGACGAUAACGGCGUCGAGCGGCG